ACGUGGGAGGCAUGACUAUACGCGUUUGCAAGUGAAAAGAGCAGCCGUGAGACUCGAUGAUUCCACUGAUAAAAUUCGUUAUUCCGAGAAGUUGCACGCUGGUCAUCCGGUCGACGGAAUAAAAGGAACCACAUGAAGAUACAACGGUGUCGCUUUGCUGGUCGCUUGGUGCGUCGCGCAUCACGCAGAGAUAACGUAAUCCUGAUACCAAGCGUGGGAAAGGAAGCUCCUAUCAAUCGCACUGCAAACGUGAGUUAUCGUAAUCUACCCGAUGAUGAGAAAUCAACGAGGACGUCGCGAAUCAACGAGGACGUCGCUGUUAUCAGCCGUCAUUGCGAAUUCGAAUCUGAUAGAUAGAGCAAGAUUCUUCCCGUCGCAUGUCACCAACGUAAUUGCACCUCGACGAGGACGUUUUUCCUCGGAUCAUACGCCGGCAAGGCCGCGGGAUGGAUAUUUGUCUGCGAAGUGCGCGAUUCACGCACCUCCUCAAGACGAGGAAUUACGCCGAGGAGCGAGCCGUUUCGCGUACGUACCGUACACGCAUUUCUGCUGAUAAAGGAAUAUCGUUUACGCUUUAUUUCCAUAGGUCGUGCGCGCGCGCGCGCGCAACGUUAUGAAACACACGCUCCGCUUAUACGAGUUUCAGGUUAACGUAGCUCGCUGUGCUCUAAUAGCGUGGCAGGCAUAUUGUACCUGCGUCAGUGGGAACAUAAUAAUGUCCACGAUGCCGGUGACGCAACCAAGUGGCCGCGACGCACGCACAUACAUACACACAUACACACACAAACAAACACAACAAGCGGCAAACGUACAGCUCGUACACGCGAUAUCGAGUACCAGUAAUAUCCGUGUGUGGUUCAGAGUUCAACAAAUAAUCCCGAUAAAUGACAGCAACUGCAUCGCGCCCGAUAUUUCGCCUACUUUUUUUCUUAUUUACAUUCAUUGCAACGAAUAAAGAAAAUAGAUAAGAAAAUAAAUAGAAGUUAUUGGAUAUUGCAAAGCUUUGCAACGAGAUAUUAAACCUCAUGAAAGGAGAACGCGAGGUUACCGGUGUUCACCGGUGCAUAAUUGACAUAUUAAAUGAAAGUAAAUUAAAUAAAAUUAAUAAAUUAACACAAUGGACAAAGCAACAAGAGCCUCGUAUGACUAUUUCGCUACUAAUUACACAAAAGAAGCGUCGAAACAAAAGAGUUUCUGCAAUAAUAAUUUCUAUUAUGACAGUGUUUUUUUCUAUUAUAAUAAUAAUAGCUUGGUGCACACGCGACGGCACAGUUCGAUUCGACGAAUGAGAACCAUACGUUUCUAUUUCCGGCUUUGACUCCUAUGACCCUUGUAUUAUCGAGUAUCCUGUGUCAAGUAACGCUCCAAUUGCGGAUACUUCGAGCGGUUACUUAUGCGCGACAUUUCUAUUAUCAACAGUGUUAUUUUUAGCGAACACUUUCGGGCCGGGGGUGUAAUUAACGGUCAAUUAACGGACAGAAUACACGAGUAUCAGUGGGCACUAAUGAAGCGCGCGCGGAGGAGAAACGUCGGCGCAGGCGGAGACGAGCGUUUUGACAAACGUUGCGAAUGAUAUACCUCGUCUCUGGUGUUGGAUACCCAGAAAUUAACGCUCAGCGCGUUUCUCGAGGUAAGAAGUCGUCAUCGGAGACGAGGAGUCAGCUCGUCGUUAUACGCCGGGUAGGUGAAAACCCGACGUCUCUGUACUCGGCACUAGUCGUUCUUGAUCUUUGCUCAACGUGCACACGCGUCAAAAAAAGAAAAAUUUUUUCUCCCUGUACAUACCAACCACAUACAAUUGAAAUUAACAUUUCUAAUAACGUGGGAUUCGUUAAUACUUAUUGCGGCCGCACUUAUUUCGGGACAAUUUUUCGACCGCCGCAUUUCAAAAGUUUUAACAAUAUUUUGAGAGGUGAAAAUGUUCUACUUGUAUAUAAAUCCGUACAGUUUCAUAUAAUAUUAUAAUUCUACAAUGUUAUUAUGUUAAUUUUGAGACUAUUAUUAUUGAGGAAUAUUUCUUUAUAGAGCUCGUAUAGUAUUAAAAUUGUAAAAUAUUAAUAACAUUUUACAAUUUUAAUAUUCUAUACGAGCUCUAUAAAGAAAUAUUUCUCAAUAAUAGUUUACGCAAUUGUAA
Molecule: long non-coding RNA, 2134 nt
Organism: Odontomachus brunneus
Lineage: Eukaryota; Metazoa; Arthropoda; Insecta; Hymenoptera; Formicidae
Exons: 3
Source: RefSeq, a predicted model, not a curated record